AACGAACGCUGGCGGCAUGCCUAACACAUGCAAGUCGAACGAGACCUUCGGGUCUAGUGGCGCACGGGUGCGUAACGCGUGGGAAUCUGCCCUUAGGUUCGGAAUAACUCAGGGAAACUUGAGCUAAUACCGGAUAAUGACGCAAGUCCAAAGAUUUAUCGCCUAGGGAUGAGCCCGCGUAGGAUUAGCUAGUUGGUGGGGUAAAAGCCUACCAAGGCGACGAUCCUUAGCUGGUCNGAGAGGAUGAUCAGCCACACUGGGACUGAGACACGGCCCAGACUCCUACGGGAGGCAGCAGUGGGAAUAUUGGACAAUGGGCGAAAGCCUGAUCCAGCAAUGCCGCGUGAGUGAUGAAGGCCUUAGGGUUGUAAAGCUCUUUUACCGGGAUGAUAAUGACAGUACCGGGAGAAUAAGCUCCGGCUAACUCCGUGCCAGCAGCCGCGGUAAU
Molecule: ribosomal RNA, 448 nt
Filed under: uncultured bacterium
Lineage: Bacteria
Description: bacterial SSU rRNA
Rfam family: Bacterial small subunit ribosomal RNA
Source: RNAcentral